AGGUUAAGUGAAUAAGGGCGCACGGUGGAUGCCUUGGCACUAGGAGCCGAUGAAGGACGGGACUAACACCGAUAUGCUUCGGGGAGCUGUAAGUAAGCUUUGAUCCGGAGAUUUCCGAAUGGGGGAACCCAGCAUCUUUUGUAGGAUGUUACCUUUAAGUGAAUUCAUAGCUUAUUGGAGGUAGACGCAGAGAACUGAAACAUCUAAGUACCUGCAGGAAGAGAAAGAAAAUUCGAUUCCCUGAGUAGCGGCGAGCGAAACGGGAACAGCCCAAACCAACAAGCUUGCUUGUUGGGGUUGUAGGACUCAAAUGUGGUAGUAAGCAAGAUAGCCGAAUGACUUGGAAAAGUCAGCCAAAGUGGGUGAAAGCCCCGUAGGCAAAAUUUUGUGAGCACCUAUGAGGAUCCUGAGUACGGCGGAACACGAGAAAUUCCGUCGGAAUCUAGGAGGACCAUCUCCUAAGGCUAAAUACUCCCUAGUGACCGAUAGCGAACCAGUACCGUGAGGGAAAGGUGAAAAGCACCCCGGGAGGGGAGUGAAAUAGAACCUGAAACCGUGUGCCUACAACAAGUUAGAGCCCGUUAAUGGGUGAUAGCGUGCCUUUUGUAGAAUGAACCGGCGAGUUACGAUUGCAUGCGAGGUUAAGUUGAAGAGACGGAGCCGUAGCGAAAGCGAGUCUGAAUAGGGCGAUAGAGUAUGUAGUCGUAGACCCGAAACCAUGUGAUCUACCCAUGUCCAGGUUGAAGGUGCGGUAAAACGCACUGGAGGACCGAACCAGGACACGUUGAAAAGUGUUUGGAUGAGGUGUGGGUAGCGGAGAAAUUCCAAACGAACUUGGAGAUAGCUGGUUCUCUCCGAAAUAGCUUUAGGGCUAGCCUCGGAAGUAAGAAUGAUGGAGGUAGAGCACUGUUUGGACUAGGGGCCCAUCUCGGGUUACCGAAUUCAGAUAAACUCCGAAUGCCAUUCAUUUAUAUCCGGGAGUCAGACUGCGAGUGAUAAGAUCCGUAGUCGAAAGGGAAACAGCCCAGACCACCAGCUAAGGUCCCCAAAUGUAUGUUAAGUGGAAAAGGAUGUGGGGUUGCACAGACAACUAGGAUGUUGGCUUAGAAGCAGCCACCAUUUAAAGAGUGCGUAAUAGCUCACUAGUCGAGUGACCCUGCGCCGAAAAUGUACCGGGGCUAAACAUACUACCGAAGCUGUGGAUUGUACUUACGUACAAUGGUAGGAGAGCGUUCUAAGGGCGUUGAAGGUAGAUCGUGAGGACUGCUGGAGCGCUUAGAAGUGAGAAUGCCGGUAUGAGUAGCGAAAGACAGGUGAGAAUCCUGUCCACCGAAUAACUAAGGUUUCCUGGGGAAGGCUCGUCCGCCCAGGGUUAGUCGGGACCUAAGCCGAGGCCGACAGGCGUAGGCGAUGGACAACAGGUUGAUAUUCCUGUACUCGUUGUUUUCGUUUGAGCAAUGGAGGGACGCAGGAGGCUAGGAAAAGCAGACGAAUGGAAAUGUCUGUCUAAGCAGUGAGUUUUGUGAUGAGUCAAAUGCUUGUCACUUUAAGAAUGAGCUGUGAUGGGGAGGUUGAUCUUGAAUCGACCGAGUUUCUGAUGUCACACUGUCAA
This 1612-nucleotide ribosomal RNA is filed under the name Enterococcus cecorum. Its description in RNAcentral is "bacterial LSU rRNA". It matches the Rfam family "Bacterial large subunit ribosomal RNA", at positions 1 to 1611 of the family's 2925-position model. The record is from RNAcentral. Lineage: Bacteria; Bacillati; Bacillota; Bacilli; Lactobacillales; Enterococcaceae.